AUGAACGCUAGCUACAGGCUUAACACAUGCAAGUCGAGGGGCAGCAUGGUCUUAGCUUGCUAAGGCCGAUGGCGACCGGCGCACGGGUGAGUAACACGUAUCCAACCUGCCGUCUACUCUUGGACAGCCUUCUGAAAGGAAGAUUAAUACAAGAUGGCAUCAUGAGUCCGCAUGUUCACAUGAUUAAAGGUAUUCCGGUAGACGAUGGGGAUGCGUUCCAUUAGAUAGUAGGCGGGGUAACGGCCCACCUAGUCUUCGAUGGAUAGGGGUUCUGAGAGGAAGGUCCCCCACAUUGGAACUGAGACACGGUCCAAACUCCUACGGGAGGCAGCAGUGAGGAAUAUUGAUCAAUGGGCGAGAGCCUGAACCAGCCAAGUAGCGUGAAGGAUGACUGCCCUAUGGGUUGUAAACUUCUUUUAUAAAGGAAUAAAGUCGGGUAUGGAUACCCGUUUGCAUGUACUUUAUGAAUAAGGAUCGGCUAACUCCGUG
RNAcentral lists this ribosomal RNA (489 nucleotides) under uncultured bacterium. RNAcentral describes it as "partial 16S ribosomal RNA". It matches the Rfam family "Bacterial small subunit ribosomal RNA", at positions 29 to 507 of the family's 1533-position model. The record is from RNAcentral.